RNAcentral lists this ribosomal RNA (674 nucleotides) under Scolecobasidium humicola. Its description in RNAcentral is "eukaryotic LSU rRNA". The stretch from base 249 to 401 matches the Rfam family "5.8S ribosomal RNA". Lineage: Eukaryota; Fungi; Ascomycota; Dothideomycetes; Venturiales; Sympoventuriaceae. The record is from RNAcentral.
AUCAUUACCGAGUGGCACAGUUUUGUCUCUUGUUCUCCCUUCUGGGGGAAGAAGAAGGCGGCUGGUUACCCGACCUCAUGUCAUGUUCUAGGUUAACUUCGGCGGAAGAGGCAGGUUUCGGGGUUGUGUCUGAUCGGACUGCGUUCUGAUCGGAGACGUCUUCGAGGCGUGCCCGCCGCCGGCCGUAACACAUACACUCUUGCGAGAAGCGUGAAGUCUGAAGAGAAUGAAAACAAAGAAAAAAGCAAAACUUUCAACAACGGAUCUCUUGGCUCUGGCAACGAUGAAGAACGCAGCGAAACGCGAAAGGUAAUGCGAAUUGCAGAAUCAGUGAGUCAUCGAAUUUUUGAACGCACAUUGCGCCUCUCGGUAUUCCGGGAGGCACGCCUGUUCGAGCGCCAUUACACACCCCAAGCUUGGCUUGAUGUUGGACCGCGGCGUGAGGGGUGCUUGCGAGAGCGAGCGCCUCGAAGGCCGGGUCUGGAACGCGUGGGCGCCGGCGCCGGACCACGAGCGUAGCAAAAGACGCAAGUCGAAUCGCUCCUGUGGGAUCUGGCGGACGGUCUUGCCUUGCAAACUUUGGGCUUCUCUUUUCCCGGGGUGGAGGUCGAGUUUUUCUCGACGUUCGUUCUGGUGGGGGGGAGAAGGCGAAAGCAAACACAAACGUUUGGCCU